UAAGCGGAGGAAAAGAAACUAACAAGGAUUCCCCUAGUAGCGGCGAGCGAAGCGGGAAAAGCUCAAAUUUGUAAUCUGGCGUCUACGACGUCCGAGUUGUAAUCUCGAGAAGUGUUUUCCGUGAUAGACCGCAUACAAGUCUCUUGGAACAGAGCGUCAUAGUGGUGAGAACCCAGUACACGAUGCGGAUGCCUAUUACUUUGUGAUACACUUUCGAAGAGUCGAGUUGUUUGGGAAUGCAGCUCAAAUUGGGUGGUAAAUUCCAUCUAAAGCUAAAUAUUGGCGAGAGACCGAUAGCGAACAAGUACCGUGAGGGAAAGAUGAAAAGCACUUUGGAAAGAGAGUUAACAGUACGUGAAAUUGUUGGAAGGGAAACACAUGCAGCCAGACUUGCUAUUCGGGGCAACUCGAUUGGCAGGCCCGCAUCAGUUUUUCGGGGCGGAAAAGCAUAGAGAGAAGGUAGCAAUUUCGGUUGUGUUAUAGCUCUUUAUUGGAUUCGACCCUGGGGGACUGAGGAACGCAGCGUGCUUUUAGCAUAAGCUUCGGCUUAUCCACGCUUA
RNAcentral lists this small RNA (560 nucleotides) under Sporobolomyces roseus. RNAcentral's name for it is "eukaryotic LSU rRNA". It matches the Rfam family "Eukaryotic large subunit ribosomal RNA", at positions 47 to 619 of the family's 3401-position model. The record is from RNAcentral. Lineage: Eukaryota; Fungi; Basidiomycota; Microbotryomycetes; Sporidiobolales; Sporidiobolaceae.